CCGGACCUGACUGCUAUCGGAUUGGUACUAAGCCAUGCGAGUCGUUGUAGCAAUACAAGGCGAACUGCUCAGUAACACGUAGUUAACCUAACCUAUGGAUGGGGAUAACCUCGGGAAACUGAGAAUAAUACCCAAUAGACCACAGUGCCUGGAAUGGCCUGUGGUUGAAAUGAUUUAUCGCUGUAGGAUGGGACUGCGGCCUAUCAGCUUGUUGGUGAGGUAAUGGCCCACCAAGGCUAUAACAGGUACGGGCUCUGAGAGGAGGGGCCCGGAGAUGGGUACUGAGACACGGACCCAGGCCCUAUGGGGCGCAGCAGGCGAGAAACCUUUGCAAUGUGCGAAAGCACGACAAGGUUAAUCCGAGUGUCUCCUGCUAAAGGAGUCUUUUGUCAGUUGUAGAAUCACUGGUGAAUAAGGGGUGGGCAAGUUCUGGUGUCAGCCGCCGCGGUAAAACCAGCACCUCGAGUGGUCAGGAGGUUUAUUGGGCCUAAAGCAUCCGUAGCCGGUUGCAUAAGUUUUCGGUUAAAUCUAUGCGCUCAACGUAUAGGCCGCCGAAAAUACUGUGCAGCUAGGGAGUGGGAGAGGUACACGGUACUCAAUAGGAAGGGGUAAAAUCCUUUGAUCUAUUGAUGACCACCUGUGGCGAAGGCGGUGUACCAGAACACGUUCGACGGUGAGGGAUGAAAGCUGGGGGAGCAAACCGGAUUAGAUACCCGGGUAGUCCCAGCUGUAAACGAUGCAGACUCGGUGAUGCAUUGGCUUGUGGCCAAUGCAGUGCCGCAGGGGAGCCGUUAAGUCUGCCGCCUGGGAAGUACGUACGCAAGUAUGAAACUUAA
RNAcentral lists this ribosomal RNA (836 nucleotides) under uncultured archaeon SAGMA-14. Its description in RNAcentral is "bacterial SSU rRNA". It matches the Rfam family "Archaeal small subunit ribosomal RNA", at positions 17 to 859 of the family's 1478-position model. The record is from RNAcentral.